GGCUGGAACUCCUGGGCUGAAGCAAUCCUCCUGACUUGACCUGCCAAGUAGCUGAGACUACAGGCAUGUGCCACUGUGCCUGGCUUAUUCUUCUUAGUCCUUACUUGAGUAUUUAGACAUUCUUCCCAAAUGCUUUGUCACAACUAACUCAUUUCCCCUCAAAAUCCAAGUGAGAAUCUUCAGACACUUCCUAUAGGCCCAGAUAUCUAGGGCUUGUCAAUUAAUGUUGUAAUUAAUUAAUUUUUAUCAUAAUUUGUAAAAAAAAUGCAUCUAAAUCACAGACUUAAAAAAUGUCACCCCCAAAAGGUAGUUCAUUUUGGGGAAUGCUUUUUUAAAAAUGUGGGGUCUCCUUGUUAUAAACUAGGUUUUUGCAAAGGUAUAUGAAAAAGUGAGGUUUGAAUUUGAUAGUGCCUUGAAUACUGCUCUUCCAGAUUGAGAAAUUAAUAAUACACUGUUUGAGGAAGGAACCCACAUCAAUAGAAAGAGGACAUACAAGUGCACCUGCAUGUAUUCUGAUGUUUGGAUAUGAAUGUUGAUAUAGUGGAUAGUUUACCCAGCAAGUAUUCAGUGCUUUCCUCCUUGCUUCUGAGCAUCCCUGAAGUUCUAGGGACACAAAGUAAAAGACAUGAUCGUUGCCUUCUAGGGGAUUCAGAAGGGAAGGUCACCCCCGCACAUGGAAGAGCAGUGAUGCGCCCAUACUGCAACGUGCUCGGGAUACUGCGGGAAAGGGUUCCAGAACCAUUCCGCCUACUCACCAGCUCUAGGAUUUGGCAGCCAACACCCUCCUCUGACCUCCGAGGCUCGGCGUUAUUGACUAACCCUAACAGGGAUGGAUCCCGCCUUCCCUGCCUCACAGUGACUUCUGUGAGGGUUAAACGAGAGCCAUGAAAACCAUGCAUGUCAGUAUUUCCCAGUAAACACUUAGUGACGGAAGUGCUGCGGUGGGGACCAGCGUUCGCAAAGUGCAGAAGACACGGUUCCCCAAGUGAAGCUUGAAGACCUAGAAAGACCUGAGUCAGGUUUUCCACUGAGAUGUGAACCAGCUCCUGGGGGCCCCUGGGGUGCUGCCUUGUUGACCGCAGGCCUUUAAGAUCUUUGUGUACCGCUGAGACCUCUUGAUUCUAAGUUUUACAAUACUGCCCAGUUGACAUCCAGAAUCCUGGCAGAGGAAAAAAAGCAGGUAGACAAAAAGCAUCACGUUUUCAUUUUUUAUCAUCAUUAAAUGACCUCAAAAUUAUUUUAUAU
Molecule: long non-coding RNA, 1245 nt
Organism: Homo sapiens (human)
Lineage: Eukaryota; Metazoa; Chordata; Mammalia; Primates; Hominidae
Exons: 3
Source: RefSeq, a predicted model, not a curated record